AAAGGCUUGAACAUAAGACCUGAAACCGUAAAACUCCUAGAAGAAAACACAGAUGGCCUGUGGUCAUGACACCGUCACGGCAUCACGACCAACUACCGGACUCACCAGGAGGUGCAUUGAUGGGUCCCACGGCAGCCGUGGCGGGCGGGACUUCUGGAGCAUUGUGGGCCACCAGCAGCGUCUGCGGAGUAUGUGAGGCUUCAUGGGGUGGCAGACAUGGCCCUGAUGGCAGAUUAGGCCUAGGGGGCCCUACACGCGCACGAUUUAAUCGUGUGCUGGGCCUCUAGUAUCUCAAUAAAAAAAGUUCUCACUGUCUGCA
Long non-coding RNA from Myotis lucifugus (little brown bat), 319 nucleotides. RefSeq lists it as uncharacterized. The transcript is spliced from 2 exons. NCBI's taxonomy places the organism in Eukaryota, Metazoa, Chordata, Mammalia, Chiroptera, Vespertilionidae. The record is from RefSeq and is a predicted model, not a curated record.